RNAcentral lists this ribosomal RNA (253 nucleotides) under uncultured prokaryote. RNAcentral describes it as "partial 16S ribosomal RNA". It matches the Rfam family "Bacterial small subunit ribosomal RNA", at positions 525 to 777 of the family's 1533-position model. The record is from RNAcentral.
ACAGAGGGUGCAAGCGUUAAUCGGAAUUACUGGGCGUAAAGCGUGCGUAGACGGUAGCGUAAGUCGGGUGUGAAAGCCCCGGGCUCAACCUGGGAAUUGCAUUCAAGACUGCCUUGCUCGAGUUUGGUAGAGGGAAGCGGAAUUCCAGGUGUAGCGGUGAAAUGCGUAGAUAUCUGGAGGAACAUCAGUGGCGAAGGCGGCUUCCUGGCCCAAAACUGACGCUGAGGUGCGAAAGCGUGGGGAGCAAACAGGA